AACGAACGCUGGCGGCAUGCCUAACACAUGCAAGUCGAACGAGACCUUCGGGUCUAGUGGCGCCCGGGUGCGUAACGCGUGGGAACCUGCCCUUAGGUUCGGAAUAACUCCCCGAAAGGGGUGCUACUACCGGAUAAUCUCUUCGGACCAAAGAUUUAUCGCCUUUGGAUGGGCCCGCGUUGGAUUAGCUAGUUGGUAGGGUAAAAGCCUACCAAGGCGACGAUCCAUAGCUGGUCUGAGAGGAUGAUCAGCCACACUGGGACUGAGACACGGCCCAGACUCCUACGGGAGGCAGCAGUGGGGAAUAUUGGACAAUGGGCGAAAGCCUGAUACAGCAAUGCCGCGUGAGUGAUGAAGGCCUUAGGGUUGUAAAGCUCUUUUACCCGGGAUGAUAAUGACAGUACCGGGAGAAUAAGCUCCGGCUAACUCCGUG
Molecule: ribosomal RNA, 433 nt
Filed under: uncultured bacterium
Lineage: Bacteria
Description: partial 16S ribosomal RNA
Rfam family: Bacterial small subunit ribosomal RNA
Source: RNAcentral